RNAcentral lists this long non-coding RNA (1444 nucleotides) under Androctonus crassicauda. Lineage: Eukaryota; Metazoa; Arthropoda; Arachnida; Scorpiones; Buthidae. The record is from RNAcentral.
AUUUUUGUCAAUAAAAACGGUGGAGUUAUGUUCUUUUUUUUUGCACUGUAAAAAAAAUUGCAUUAUUUUCGAUACAUUAAACGUCAAACGAAUAUAAUUUGAAUCGAAAUGCCAAGGAGGAUUUAGAUUUCUUCUCUGACUUUAAAAACAGUCAGAGAAUGUGUUUUCUUCAGCUUUAACGCUUACAAAAUGCAAAAAGGUUUUAAGGUGGCAAGCAGCCAAACAUCAGGUAGUAUAGUAAAAAGAUGCAGUAUGGCCUUCACAUUGCUAAAAGCGUUUCACCAUAUGGAACUUUUCUCAGUGAAUUCUUUAGCCGUUCUGUUUGGAGCUGUCAUUGCAUUGACCCAGUCAAGGAGCUUUAUAUUCUAAAAGCUAGAGUAGUAGAAGAUGGGAGGAGGAGAGCAUAUAUAAUUUUAUGUCUUGGAGCAUGGAAGACAUUAAAGUGUCAUCUCCCCGGACGUCGAAUUGUUUUUGGAUCCCGAGUCGAAGAGUAAAAUAAAUGAAAAGUACUCUGUUAGAUAGAAAGAAAUCAAAGUCUCUAGAGAAGCACUAAAAAAUCCUUUUCUUGUUUCUUUAUAAAAGAAAACCCUUAGUGCAACAAUUCAUAGUUUUUCUCUCUUUCUCUCGUACAAAGAAACUAUUAUAAUAUUGCAAAUAAUUCAGAAUAUAAAUUUUAUUCAAUGAAAAGCAUUAUAAAACUCAACAGAGGAAAGGAAAAUAACAAUAAUAAAAAAAAAUAUUCUCUAACUUUUAAUCGAUCAGAAUUGAGCAUUUAUUCUCGACAGUUUAUUUAAAAGAUUUAUUGGACGAAAGAAAACAUCUCAAACAUUUUACAAUUGCAUACAUAUAUGUUUAUAAAAUGUAUACAUGUAUAUAAAUAUAUAGAUUAUAUACUGUUUGGAAUUCAGUGGAUUAUUACAUAAUAUGAUAUCCGAUAGUAAAUCAAAAUCAUUUCAAACUUCUAUCUAUCAAAACAAUGGACAUGUUGACCAGAAAACAAGACAUCUGGUGAUUUAGACUAGGACAGCUCCUAUCUUGUGACAAUGUAUCGAUAGCGCAUGCGUUUGCUUUCAGCGCUGAGUUUGUGAAUGUUCUGUGGUCGAACGUGAAGUACAGUCGUGUGUCCAGCGCUGUACUCCACAGCUCCUCUUCAAACCAUGUGCAGGGUUCUUUCCAUUGCUAUAGAGUAAGCACACUGUCUUAUGCUUGGAUAACUGCCGACGAUACAGCUCAAUUGAUCGGUGUUUUUGGCUAGUAGACUUUUUUGUUGUGAUAAAUAACUCUAACUAAUGAUCAAAAGAACAUGUUUCGUUAUAUUGUUUCGAUGUUUCCGAAUGCUUUAAUCGAGAUAACUAGGUGAUGAGACUUUGUACAACUUUCUGAAAUGUUAUUUAUUUCGAGAACAAAGUUUUCUUUUUGUAUAUUCUUUAUUGUAAGAGGUGAG